This 327-nucleotide ribosomal RNA is filed under the name uncultured eukaryote. Its description in RNAcentral is "partial 18S ribosomal RNA". It matches the Rfam family "Eukaryotic small subunit ribosomal RNA", at positions 1470 to 1796 of the family's 1831-position model. The record is from RNAcentral.
CCCUUAGAUGUUCUGGGCCGCACGCGCGCUACACUGAUUCAUGCAACAAGUUUUGUCCUUGGCUGAUAGGCCUGGGUAAUCUUUGAACGUGAAUCGUGAUGGGGAUAGAUGAUUGCAAUUAUUCAUCUUCAACGAGGAAUUCCUAGUAAACGCAAGUCAUCAGCUUGCAUUGAUUACGUCCCUGCCCUUUGUACACACCGCCCGUCGCACCUACCGAUUGAAUGGUCCGGUGAAAUCUUCGGAUCUGAGAGAUGGCUGAUUAAUUUCGGACGCCUUUUGGAAAAGUUGUUUAAACCUUACCAUUUAGAGGAAGGUGAAGUCGUAACA